This is a long non-coding RNA of Cyprinus carpio (common carp), 574 nucleotides long. RefSeq lists it as uncharacterized. Lineage: Eukaryota; Metazoa; Chordata; Actinopteri; Cypriniformes; Cyprinidae. The transcript has 4 exons. The record is from RefSeq and is a predicted model, not a curated record.
GAGAGGCUCACACAAUGAGCACAGUGGGAGGAUUUAACAAAGACAUGUCUCUCUUAUUAUAAGAAAGGCUCAGGUUGGGGUUUGGAUCUUAGGGUAGAGAAUAACACUCAAAGAAAACUAGCUGAGUGUCGACUGGAUUCUGUUUGGACGCCAUGAUCAGGUCAGAGUUCAAGGCUCUUGGACUUUGGUAAGCAGACAAACGGAUUCCUUAGAACAGAAACAACCCUUUGUCUCAACAUUGACUCACUUUCAUAUACAUGCCCUGUCCCAUGCACCCGACUGGAGACAAAACCGCAACAAGCAGGCCCGUCAUUCUUGGGAGCACGGAAAGCCUGUAAAUGUUUCUGUAACAGUGAGUGAGCACUGGCAUGAUGACUCCAGCAGAGGGCAGGCCUGUAUCUUUCUCUCACCAGGACAGGCUUUAAUGUGGUCUGGAUCUCCCAGAGUGAACUCAGGCAAGGAGCUGUUGUACUCUCACACCCGCGUGUCUGUGUCCCGACACCCUCAGCACAACACCUUCACACUGUCACUCAGAAACAUCAGCAGCAGUCAGCGCUCCAACUACUCACUGAAC